This 119-nucleotide ribosomal RNA is filed under the name Pteropus alecto (black flying fox). The record is from RNAcentral. Lineage: Eukaryota; Metazoa; Chordata; Mammalia; Chiroptera; Pteropodidae.
GUCUAUGGCCAUGUCAUCCUGAAUAAGCCCGAUCCCGCCUGAUCUUGAAAGCUAAGCAGGGUUGAGCCUGGUUAGUACUUGGAUGGGAGACCACCUAGGAAGACCAGGUACUGUAAGCA